AGGAUGAUAGUCAACUAUGAUAUCUGCUUUGCACGCAGUAGGUGCUUAUUUUAAGCUUAUCUUG
RNAcentral lists this transfer RNA (64 nucleotides) under Palaemon longirostris. RNAcentral describes it as "tRNA-Ala". The record is from RNAcentral. Lineage: Eukaryota; Metazoa; Arthropoda; Malacostraca; Decapoda; Palaemonidae.